CUGCGAAUGGCUCAUUAAAUCAGUUAUCGUUUAUUUGAUAGUACCUUACUACAUGGAUAACCGUGGUAAUUCUAGAGCUAAUACAUGCUAAAAACCUCGACUUCGGAAGGGGUGUAUUUAUUAGAUAAAAAACCAAUGCCCUCCGGGGCUCCUUGGUGAUUCAUAAUAACUUCUCAGAUCGCAUGGCCUUGCGCCGGCGACGGUUCAUUCAAAUUUCUGCCCUAUCAACUUUCGAUGGUAAGGUAUUGGCUUACCAUGGUUUCAACGGGUAACGGGGAAUUAGGGUUCGAUUCCGGAGAGGGAGCCUGAGAAACGGCUACCACAUCCAAGGAAGGCAGCAGGCGCGCAAAUUACCCAAUCCCGAUACGGGGAGGUAGUGACAAUAAAUACUGAUACAGGGCUCUUUAGGGUCUUGUAAUUGGAAUGAGUACAAUUUAAACCUCUUAACGAGGAACAAUUGGAGGGCAAGUCUGGUGCCAGCAGCCGCGGUAAUUCCAGCUCCAAUAGCGUAUAUUAAAGUUGUUGCAGUUAAAAAGCUCGUAGUUGAACCUUUGGCCUGGCUGGCGGGUCCGCCUCACCGCGUGCACUCGUCCGGCCGGGCCUUUUCUUCUGGAGAACCGCAUGCCCUUCACUGGGUGUGUUGGGGACCGGACUUUUACUUUGAAAAA
RNAcentral lists this ribosomal RNA (668 nucleotides) under Periconia sp. RNAcentral describes it as "SSU rRNA". It matches the Rfam family "Eukaryotic small subunit ribosomal RNA", at positions 87 to 764 of the family's 1831-position model. The record is from RNAcentral. Lineage: Eukaryota; Fungi; Ascomycota; Dothideomycetes; Pleosporales; Periconiaceae.